RNAcentral lists this ribosomal RNA (253 nucleotides) under uncultured bacterium. RNAcentral describes it as "partial 16S ribosomal RNA". It matches the Rfam family "Bacterial small subunit ribosomal RNA", at positions 524 to 776 of the family's 1533-position model. The record is from RNAcentral.
UACAGAGGUCUCAAGCGUUGUUCGGAUUCAUUGGGCGUAAAGGGUGCGUAGGUGGCGCCAUAAGUCGGGUGUGAAAUCUCGGGGCUUAACUCCGAAACUGCAUUCGAUACUGUGGUGCUUGAGGACUGGAGAGGAGACUGGAAUUCAUGGUGUAGCAGUGAAAUGCGCAGAGAUCAUGAGGAAGACCAGUGGCGAAGGCGGGUCUCUGGACAGUUCCUGACACUGAGGCACGAAGGCCAGGGGAGCAAACGGG